GGGGAUGUAGCUCAGUGGCACAGCAUCUGCCUGAGAAGCACAGGGUCCUGAGUUCGAUUUUCAGUACCA
Molecule: transfer RNA, 69 nt
Filed under: Cavia porcellus (domestic guinea pig)
Lineage: Eukaryota; Metazoa; Chordata; Mammalia; Rodentia; Caviidae
Rfam family: tRNA
About the family: Transfer RNA (tRNA) molecules are approximately 80 nucleotides in length.
Source: Rfam by way of RNAcentral